CCUACGGGUAGCAGCAGUGGGGAAUCUUAGACAAUGGGGGCAACCCUGAUCUAGCCAUGCCGCGUGAGUGAUGAAGGCCUUAGGGUCGUAAAGCUCUUUCGCCUGUGAUGAUAAUGACAGUAGCAGGUAAAGAAACCCCGGCUAACUCCGUGCCAGCAGCCGCGGUAAUA
This 170-nucleotide ribosomal RNA is filed under the name uncultured Alphaproteobacteria bacterium. Its description in RNAcentral is "partial 16S ribosomal RNA". It matches the Rfam family "Bacterial small subunit ribosomal RNA", at positions 338 to 525 of the family's 1533-position model. Lineage: Bacteria; Pseudomonadati; Pseudomonadota; Alphaproteobacteria. The record is from RNAcentral.